ACGCUGGCGGCGUGCCUAAUACAUGCAAGUAGAACGCUGAAGCUUGGUGCUUGCACCGAGCGGAUGAGUUGCGAACGGGUGAGUAACGCGUAGGUAACCUGCCUGGUAGCGGGGGAUAACUAUUGGAAACGAUAGCUAAUACCGCAUAACAGUAGAUGUUGCAUGACAUUUGCUUGAAAGGGGCAAUUGCUCCACUACCAGAUGGACCUGCGUUGUAUUAGCUAGUUGGUGAGGUAACGGCUCACCAAGGCGACGAUACAUAGCCGACCUGAGAGGGUGAUCGGCCACACUGGGACUGAGACACGGCCCAGACUCCUACGGGAGGCAGCAGUAGGGAAUCUUCGGCAAUGGACGGAAGUCUGACCGAGCAACGCCGCGUGAGUGAAGAAGGUUUUCGGAUCGUAAAGCUCUGUUGUGAGAGAAGAACGAGUGUGAGAGUGGAAAGUUCACACUGUGACGGUAACUUACCAGAAAGGGACGGCUAACUACGUGCUAGCAGCCGCGGUAAUACGUAGGUCCCGAGCGUUAUCCGGAUUUAUUGGGCGUAAAGCGAGCGCAGGCGGUUAGAUAAGUCUGAAGUUAAAGGCUGUGGCUUAACCAUAGUACGCUUUGGAAACUGUUUAACUUGAGUGCAGAAGGGGAGAGUGGAAUUCCAUGUGUAGCGGUGAAAUGCGUAGAUAUAUGGAGGAACACCGGUGGCGAAAGCGGCUCUCUGGUCUGUAACUGACGCUGAGGCUCGAAAGCGUGGGGAGCAAACAGGAUUAGAUACCCUGGUAGUCCACGCCGUAAACGAUGAGUGCUAGGUGUUGGGUCCUUUCCGGGACUCAGUGCCGCAGCUAACGCAUUAAGCACUCCGCCUGGGGAGUACGACCGCAAGGUUGAAACUCAAAGGAAUUGACGGGGGCCCGCA
This 910-nucleotide ribosomal RNA is filed under the name uncultured bacterium. Its description in RNAcentral is "bacterial SSU rRNA". It matches the Rfam family "Bacterial small subunit ribosomal RNA", at positions 33 to 925 of the family's 1533-position model. The record is from RNAcentral.